RNAcentral lists this transfer RNA (71 nucleotides) under Ganoderma leucocontextum. RNAcentral's name for it is "tRNA-Ala". The stretch from base 8 to 63 matches the Rfam family "tRNA", at positions 8 to 63 of the family's 71-position model. Rfam says of the family: Transfer RNA (tRNA) molecules are approximately 80 nucleotides in length. Lineage: Eukaryota; Fungi; Basidiomycota; Agaricomycetes; Polyporales; Polyporaceae. The record is from RNAcentral.
GUCCGUUUAGCUCAGCGGUAGAGCGCGCCACUCGCAAUGGUGAGGUCGGUGGUUCAAUCCACCCAAUGCCA